Fundulus heteroclitus (mummichog) is the source of this 492-nucleotide long non-coding RNA. RefSeq lists it as uncharacterized. Lineage: Eukaryota; Metazoa; Chordata; Actinopteri; Cyprinodontiformes; Fundulidae. The transcript has 2 exons. The record is from RefSeq and is a predicted model, not a curated record.
CAGUCCAGUUUAUUCUUCAGGUGGGUCCACCACCAGCUCCUUGGUUUUCCCUGGAUUUAACAUGAGGUGGUUCUGUUGGUACCAGUCUACACAGCUCUGGAUCCACUGACUCUGGAGUUAGGCUUAGGACUCGUCCUCCUGUGGUGACACCGACCAUCAGAGUCAUCAAAGGACGUCUGAAGGUGGCAACCUGGAGAGCUGACGGACAAAUCUGCAGAGUAGAAGCUAUGGCUCAUCAUAAAAGGCGUUGCUGCAGAACUUUGUCUGGACUCGACCCGGCAGACCAGUGGAUCCAGUCUGUGAAGCAUCAGACAUUAUGAAUCCUGCCAGGCGGUAAAACGUCAGUGAGGAUAUCAGAGAGAGCUGUACGGGGUAGAAACGUUGGAGAAAAAAUGUCAGACAGUACAUUUACAGCGUUUGUUUUACAUCUGAAAAUAAUCUGAUGUUAAAAUCCAGCUUUUUUUGUCUGAAACAUUAAACUAAUAACAUUUA